Molecule: long non-coding RNA, 787 nt
Organism: Falco peregrinus (peregrine falcon)
Lineage: Eukaryota; Metazoa; Chordata; Aves; Falconiformes; Falconidae
Exons: 2
Source: RefSeq, a predicted model, not a curated record
AUGUCAGCAGCGAAGGGGGAAUUUGGAGGACUUCAUCCACUGGCUCCCUGAGGGAAUGAAAGAAUCAUUGGAGAAGGAGAAUGCACUCUGGAAGCAGCCACAUAAGAAGGCGGCGAAGGAAAAACAAAACACAAGAACUUACCAAAGAACCCCAGCAUGACCAUAAACCACCUCUGCAUGAGCCCAAAACAGAUUCGCCUGUACUGUAAACCUGAGAUUGCAAGCUCUGGCUGCGGCGCCACUGGGAGCAAAGGGAAUUUCUGUCUCACCAAGAGCUAAAGGACUAGAAAAGGCACCUGAGGGAUUUUGCAUGCAGUCAACUUUCCAUUGGGAAAGGUAAAUUUGAAGACCAAGUCUGAGGAUGUCAUUUCUCUGAACAGAAUGAAAUGAAUAAAUACAACAGAUGAGACUGUUACCCAGCUGGUUUGCUGGUGUUUUUAGUAGAGCCAGGAUUUUACCUCAUGUUACUGCAGGACUUCUUUUUCUCUUCAGCUAAGGACAUGUAUCCCCUGGGAGGGGUCUAUGCCAACACAGCUCAAACCAUUUUUUUGGAUUUACACAUCCCUGCAUGAAAAGAGGCACAAAUCUCUACUGCAAUAUUAGCACUGACUAUUCAUGCACCGUAUGUUUUUUUCCCUUUUUAAACAGCUCUGAAAUCUAGGAUAGUUCUGGUAAUAUCUGGGGAUAAAGCAAGAAUUUUCUUCAAAGCUACUUUCUUAAGGAAUUCUCUUCUUUGCCUGUUUGUGUAACUUCACAAGUUCUGCCAAAAAAAAAAAAAAAAGAAAAA